This is a non-coding RNA of Phyllosticta capitalensis, 168 nucleotides long. NCBI's taxonomy places the organism in Eukaryota, Fungi, Ascomycota, Dothideomycetes, Botryosphaeriales, Phyllostictaceae. The record is from the annotation of a GenBank genome assembly.
UCCAUCGUGGUGCAGUGGUAGCACGCCCGACCACACACGGCGUCACGCCGCACUACUCACGAGGGUGCCGUAUGCAGCUUCCGAUACGUCGGUCAAGCACUGCACGCAUACGCGAUGCUGGCGCUGCAAGCUAGUCUGGAGGCCCGAGUUCGACUCUCGGCGAUGGAG